CAGCAGCCGCGGUAAUACGUAGGGUGCAAGCGUUAAUCGGAAUUACUGGGCGUAAAGCGUGCGCAGGCGGUUAUAUAAGACAGAUGUGAAAUCCCCGGGCUCAACCUGGGAACUGCAUUUGUGACUGUAUAGCUAGAGUACGGCAGAGGGGGAUGGAAUUCCGCGUGUAGCAGUGAAAUGCGUAGAUAUGCGGAGGAACACCGAUGGCGAAGGCAAUCCCCUGGGCCUGUACUGACGCUCAUGCACGAAAGCGUGGGGAGCAAACAGGAUUAGAUACCCGGUAGUCCCUGUCUCUUAUACA
Molecule: ribosomal RNA, 301 nt
Filed under: uncultured bacterium
Lineage: Bacteria
Description: partial 16S ribosomal RNA
Rfam family: Bacterial small subunit ribosomal RNA
Source: RNAcentral